Molecule: long non-coding RNA, 722 nt
Filed under: Brassica napus (rape)
Lineage: Eukaryota; Viridiplantae; Streptophyta; Magnoliopsida; Brassicales; Brassicaceae
Description: long non-coding RNA (BNAP_LNC010516)
Source: RNAcentral
AUUUUUUUCUAUCCCCACGUGAAGUUGUUAUUUAUUUUUAAAAAGUUGGAUUACUCUUUUGUUUCCAUGUAUCAAAUUUUCCAUAUCAGCCUUUACUCAUGCCCACCACUUCUUUUCAUAGUGCCGGUGGGGCUGCUGGCUUAGGUGCUGGUGCGGCUGCGGGCUUAGGUGCUGGUGCGGCUGCUGGCGCGGCUGCAGCACCUGGUAUUAUCUUUUUCAAGACUUUUGACAGGACUGCUGGCGGCUCCUUGCCCGUUGCUUGCCUACACAAAAUUGAAUACGUCUGGUAUCAAAAGAUCUUAAUACUUACGGUUCAAAACAUGUUCACUACCAACCAACCUAAUAGUUUGUACGUAUAGAAACAUAUUCAACCAUGCAGCUACACAAAUAGAUACAUUCUUAAUACUGCCCAUGGUAAAUGCGCUAGAGUAACGAGUGGAUGAAAUGUAAUUUGCUUUUUUCAUAAUUUUAGAAAAGGUGGGAUUCAAUUAAGGGGAAUAUCGAUUAUUUUUUCAAUAUUUAUUCCUCUACGUAUACCCUUAAUUUGCGUAUCUAUAGGAUGCAGUCGAGAUCAUCAACUUAUGCGUUAGUUAAUCCCUCGCUCUGCCACCUAAUAUCUAUAUUAAAAUUUGUAUAAAUAUAAUAAAAUUUUCCAUUCAAAGAAUUUUCUAAAAUAUAUGUACGCGUAUACAAUAAUUUAUUAUGUUAGUGUUAAAUACUUG